This 254-nucleotide ribosomal RNA is filed under the name uncultured bacterium. RNAcentral describes it as "partial 16S ribosomal RNA". It matches the Rfam family "Bacterial small subunit ribosomal RNA", at positions 524 to 776 of the family's 1533-position model. The record is from RNAcentral.
UACGGAGGGUGCAAGCGUUAUCCGGAUUCACUGGGUUUAAAGGGUGCGUAGGUGGGCAGGUAAGUCAGCUGUGAAAUCUCCGAGCUUAACUCGGAACGGUCAGCUGAUACUGCUGUGCUAGAGUACAGAAAGGGCAAUCGGAAUUCUUGGUGUAGCGGUGAAAUGCGUAGAUAUCAAGAGGAACACCUGAGGCGAAGGCGGGUUGCUAGGCUGAUACUGACGCUGAGUGCGCGAAAGUGCGGGGAUCAAACAGG